Molecule: ribosomal RNA, 465 nt
Filed under: uncultured bacterium
Lineage: Bacteria
Description: partial 16S ribosomal RNA
Rfam family: Bacterial small subunit ribosomal RNA
Source: RNAcentral
GACGAACGCUGGCGGCGUGCUUAACACAUGCAAGUCGAACGGAAAGGCCCCUUUGGGGGUACUCGAGUGGCGAACGGGUGAGUAACACGUGAGUAACCUGCCCUUGACUUCGGGAUAACUUCAGGAAACUGGGGCUAAUACCGGAUAGGAAUCCUUGCUGCAUGGUGGGGGUUGGAAAGCUUCGGCGGUUUUGGAUGGACUCGCGGCUUAUCAGCUUGUUGGUGGGGUAGUGGCUUACCAAGGCUUUGACGGGUAGCCGGCCUGAGAGGGCGACCGGCCACAUUGGGACUGAGAUACGGCCCAGACUCCUACGGGAGGGAGCAGUGGGGAAUAUUGCACAAUGGGCGGAAGCCGGAUGCAGCAACGCCGCGUGCGGGAUGACGGCCUUCGGGUUGUAAACCGCUUUCAGCAGGGGCGAAGCUUGUGGUGACGGUACCUGCAGAAGAAGCACCGGCUAACUACGUG